RNAcentral lists this ribosomal RNA (402 nucleotides) under uncultured Glomeromycotina. Its description in RNAcentral is "SSU rRNA". It matches the Rfam family "Eukaryotic small subunit ribosomal RNA", at positions 569 to 970 of the family's 1831-position model. Lineage: Eukaryota; Fungi; Glomeromycota. The record is from RNAcentral.
AGCAGCCGCGGUAAUUCCAGCUCCAAUAGCGUAUAUUAAAGUUGUUGCAGUUAAAAAGCUCGUAGUUGAAUUUCGGGAUUGACGUGAUGGUCAUGCCUUAAGGGGUAUGAACUGUUGCAGUUGAUUUCUCACCUUCUGGAGAAACUUGAUGUCCUUUAUUGGGUGUCUUGCGGAUCCAGGACCUUUACCUUGAAAAAUUAGAGUGUUUAAAGCAGGCAUUUUUGCUCGAAUACAUUAGCAUGGAAUAAUAGAAUAGGACGGCAUGGUUCUAUUUUGUUGGUUUCUAGGAUCACCGUAAUGAUUAAUAGGGAUAGUUGGGGCAUUAGUAUUCAAUUGUCAGAGGUGAAAUUCUUGGAUUUAUUGAAGACUAACUACUGCGAAAGCAUUUGCCAAGGAUGUUUU